Molecule: ribosomal RNA, 262 nt
Filed under: uncultured bacterium
Lineage: Bacteria
Description: partial 16S ribosomal RNA
Rfam family: Bacterial small subunit ribosomal RNA
Source: RNAcentral
GAUGAACGCUAGCGGCAGGCCUAAUACAUGCAAGUCGGACGGGAUUUGGGAGCUUGCUCCCAAUGAGAGUGGCGCACGGGUGCGUAACACGUAUGUAACCUACCUUAGUCAGGGGGAUAGCCUCUCGAAAGAGAGAUUAAGACCGCAUAAAAUCACAGUAUAGCAUUAUACAAUGAUCAAAUAUUUAUAGGACUAAGAUGGGCAUGCGGAACANAGCUAGUUGGUGAGGUAACGGCCCACCAAGGCUACGAUGUUUAGGGGA